GCGCCUGAGGGACUCUCGGCGGAGCCUAAGCGAAAGCUCACGCAGCCCGCCGGCCGUGCACGCACCGCACGGGGAUGGGCAAAGGGCGGGAAAAGGGGCGGGAAAUGAAGGCGCUGGUGCGAGGCGAGGCAGCUGCUCAGGAAAGAAGAAAUCAUAUGAAGCAUUUGGGAACAGCAGCUGAAGAUGGGACAUAACUUCUAAAAAAUGAACUUAUCAAGUGGUAGAGCCACAGCUGUGUCAUAAUGAUGCCUUUGCUUUUAGAGAAGGACAAGCUGCACCAAACAAAAACUGAGAGCAUCCUCCAGGAGCUGAACUGGAGAGACAUCAGGAUCUCUGGCAGAAGUCAUCUUCUCCUUGCAGUAGCUUCGCAUCUCCUGCUUCUGGCAUUUCAUUUGUAUUUGACAUAUCUAAAUGGUAUAUUAUAUUUAACAGCCUCUUUCCUCUGGGAGAUCAAGACAGCUUACAAGGUGGCCAGUCUAUUUCUGCUUAACUAGCACUAUGGGAUAGGUUACACCGCAUGGUGGCACAGUGGUUAGAAUGCAAUACUGCAGGCUACUUCUGCUGCCUGCUGGCUGACUGCAGUUCAGCAAUUCAAUUCUCACCAGCCCAAGGUUGACUCAGCCUUCCAUCUUUCCGAGGUCGGUAAAAUGAACCAGAUUGUUGGGGGCAAUAUGCUGACUCUGUAAACCGCUUAGAGAGGGCUGUAAAGCACUGUAAAGUGAUAUCUACAGUAAGUCUACAUGCUAUUGCUAUUGAGAGAGAUUGAGAGGUCCAAACUCCUCCACUAUCUGAUGGAACUUGAACCUGACUCUCCUAGAUUUCAGUCAAAAAUCUUUCAAGAACAUUGGAUUGCUCUCCAGGAGAGAGAAGAUUUUUGAGAAUUUAGGAAACUAACCCUAGCAUAGAAAUGGGAAAGACUCAGACAGAGGAAAUUACAUCUCUUUGAAUAUUGCGGAUAUACAGGAGGAAAUAAAAUUAACUAGAUAAUGGAAAAGAUUAGAAGAUUCUUAGCAGACAUGAUGGAGCCUGCAAAGAUAUCAGAAAUGAAGGUGGAGAGAUUGUUCCCAGAGAACUGACAGAAAUAAUACAUAGAACUGAGGAAAGGGUACAAAACUUGUGAAGCUGUGCAUAGAAGGUAUCUCUACCACCAGGCACUGACAGAUCCACAGGAAGAGAAAGGAGAGAAGUUAGCCUGGAAAUGAUGGAUAGGAAGAGAAGAAAGGGAUUAGCUCAGAAGAAGCAGCAAUCUGAGAAGGUAAAACAGGAAAGAGCAAGAUUUACUCAAUAGUUACAAAUGGCAAAGCUAUCAAUUUCUGAGAGCUAGGAAGCUUACUUAUUAGAAAGAGGUAGGCUAAGAAGAUAAAGAAAAAUAAAGGGCAAGAUCAAAAGAUUACAAGUGACAAAACAAUAAAAAAGGGAGGGCACAUGGCAUUGGUAGCUUGGCCAAAGUGUUUUCAUUUGUGAAUUUUUUAUUUGAUGGCUGGUAGAAGAUCAAGGAAGAGACAUGCCUCAGUGUGUGUCAUCUGGGGGUGGAUCAUGGCUGACUACUGAAGAGGAAGAGGAGCCAACAGAAUUGCAUGAGCCAUCAAAGAGGAUCUUGAAGAGGAAUCAAGCAACCAAGUUUGAGACUUUUUGCUUUGGCUGGGAGCAUAUUUGCCAAGGUAAGAGUUGAACUGUUUGACUACAUACUGUAUGUUUGAAAUGUGUGUUUCUUUAAAGAGCCUUUCACUGCUGUUGGGAACCUGCUGGAUCAAAUUACCACAAAAUCCUAUGCUCACAGCUACCACAUGGCAAUGGGAGUUCACAAAUCCUGUAUGUACAGGUGUGGCUAUCAUAAUAUGAUUAUUAUAAAGAUAAAAUGUAUUAUAAUAUUUUCUUAUUUUUCAUAUAGCAAUGGCACUUAGAUUUAUAUACUGCUCCACAGAGCUUUACAGUCCUCUCUAAGUGGUUUAUAGAGUCAUCAUAUUGCCCCUAAUAAUCUGGGUCCUCAUUUUACCAACCUCAGAAGGAUGGAAGAUUGAGUCAACCUUGAGCAGGUAAGAAUUGAACUGCUGGCAAUGGCAGUCAAUAGAAUUAGCCUGAAAUACUGCAUUCUAACCACUGCACCACUGCAUAUUUCCUACAUUCUUGUGGGGUUUUUUUUUUCAUUUUGCACUUUUUAAAAUAUUUGUAUGGUGCUUCUUGCCACCAUAAAAAAAAUAGAAGUUAGAAUAAAUGAUUUCUAAAGUCUCUUUCAACCUUGUGAUUCUAUUAUUCUUGUUCUAUUCAAUGAUUGCUAGCUCAGAAUCCAAUCAUUCUCUGCUUUUCACAUAAGGACAGAUAAAUAAAAAAGUUUUAAUGCAGUUCAAGCCUAACAAAUUUCAUCAUUCCCUUCAAGUAUUUAUUUUAAUUGGCUAACAUGACUAAUGAGCCUGUGAGAAUAAUUCUAGUCCUGAAUUCCUUCUGAUUUAUCUGCUAAUUAAAGAAAUUUUAAUGAACAAGUUAUUUGAAGCCAUACUUCUUAUUUGGGAAAUGUCUACAGUAUACUUAGAUUAAUGGUUACUAACAGCCCUGAGAAAAACCAAGAAAGAACCAAUGAUCUAUGAAUUUUAUGUUAGCUAAUUUAUUGUGGUCUGUUUGACUUCCACUUAGCAUGUUAUAUGAGCAAAAACUGAUGCAGUUUAAAACAAUGAUCUAUGGCUUAACAAAUUGUGAUUCCAAAACAUUCAAAAGCCAUGUUUAAGUAGACCAUAAUAUAUGGCAAUAUGUGAACCUAAAUCUUUUGCGAUUAAAAAAAAAUCAUAUAUUCUUCUCCUGCUUACCUAUGUUUCCCCACUUUUCUGGAAUCUACCCAUAGACAGCACCAUAAGUAGAACAUGUACCAAUAAUCUAAAUUGGUACACACAGACAUGCAGUAAAUACAAGCCUAUGGGGCUUCAUUAUUCAAUGUCAUUUAUUUGACUUUGUAUUAGAAACAAGCAAUCGGAAUAAAUUGGGUAUAAUAUGGCUCUGCCUCUGUUUGUCAUUCAUCAGCUGAGUAGCUGCACUCUGCAGGAAGGGAAACUUGUAAACAAGGCUUAGAGAACAUUAUAACAAUUCAAAUAGGAAAUCACUAAGGUAAAUUAGCCAAAGAAAAAUAUAGCAGAAGAAUCAGCUGGAGCUACAAGUUGUCACUCUUGGCCACUGUGACUAUUUGUGCCUCCAGUGAAAAAGCUAAUUAUGUGAGUCCCCUCCCUGCAAAGACUGUUGAUGAUUGCUUCUUCCUGACAAUGGAACCCUACCCCAAACAAACUGUCUUCUGACUUUCUGGAUGCAGAAACUACUUACAGUCUUCUCAAGAAACCAGUCUCAUUAUACUGGCCUUCAUCAAAUGUAUUACUCACUCCAGCCAAGCCCUAGUCCAGUAUGUGUCUGACUUCACUUGGUUUAGCUGAGGUGGAUGGAGAAGCAAUGCUGGGUCUAACUGCAUAAAGUUUUACAAGGAGACAUUGUAAACUAGAGCUGUAUCAAUCAAGUGGAUCUUAUUUAUUUAUCAUAUUUAAAUACAGCUCAUCUCACUCUCAGAGGGACUGAGUCUUGGCAUGGAUAUCAAAUUGUAUCAAAGUUCUCCACAGAGUUCAUGGGAUCAUGAAUAUCUUGUGGUUAAACAAACCCAAACCCUAGAUUCUAUUGGCAAUGUUUGAUUGAAAGAAAUUGUUUAAGUAUUCAAGUCUGUGUCUACUUUCAAGAUACCAGGAAUUAAAUCCAAGAACUUCUGACCUCUCUGCCACUCAGAUUCAAUCUUCUUCCUACAGAUCAAUUUUAUAACUUCAAUUAUAACACAGUGGAGACUCCAAGAAAAAAGUUGUACUGUUGUUUUGUUUUGCAGUUCAGCACAACUAUAGCAACAAGAUCAAGGUCAACUCAGCCUUCCAUCCUUUCUAAGGUGGGUAAAAUGAGGACCCGGUUUGUGGGGGCAAUAAGCUGACUUUGUAUAAAAUAUACAAAAGUAUGAAGGCUAUUGCUUAACGCAUUGUAAGCCACCCUGAGUCUCCGGAGAAGGGCAGCAUAUAAAAAUAAAUAAAUAAAAAUAAAUAAAAACUGAAGCCAUUUUAUACUUUAAAAGCAUAUUUUAAGAUGCCAAUCUGUUAAACAGGGUCAAGCAAUUUGUUUGUACUAGCUUUGUAAUUCACAUUAUUGCUUUGGUGGUAUGUAAUUUUUCUUGCUUUAGUUGAUAAUAUUGUGAUGACUUUGAUCAAGCAGACAGUGAUGUCAGCCUUCCUCAUAGUUCACUGAAUCAUGCUUACUCAGUUCACACAAUUUCCUGGAUUUAUGUAACAGUGAAAAUAGUAUGUGGACCAGGUUCAUUCUACACUCAUGAAGUUAAAAUAUAGUUGUUUAGUUUAAUUUAUUUUGCUAGAGCUGGCUGCUGAUAAGUCCUGGAGCAAUCGUGAAUUUCCUGUAGGUCCUAAGGCAGUGCAAAAAUUCUUGUUGCACAUUUUUUGUCUAUAUUGUUCCUGGCUGUAUGAGUUUCUGGGCUGUCUUUUAAAAUAUGAAAAGAAAGGUAAAGAAUGUUUCUAAAUGGUCAUGCAAGUUACAGAUCUCUAGACUUGUAUAAAUUAGAUCCUACAGAAGAGUAUAUAUGAGAACAUAUCCAAGGCACCUACUCCUGGAAUUCAUUUACAGUGAUGUUAAUCUUGCUAUGGCUAAAAUGCAAUACAUAAAACUUUACAACAAUUACAUAUGUAAUCAAACAAUUCACUUGGUCAAAUUCAUAUAUGUGCACAAAGUGUAUAGAAUGAGCAGUUUAAAAAAAGUGUUUUGAUAAAUUUUUGCCUGCAAAUC
Pantherophis guttatus is the source of this 4803-nucleotide long non-coding RNA. RefSeq lists it as uncharacterized. NCBI's taxonomy places the organism in Eukaryota, Metazoa, Chordata, Lepidosauria, Squamata, Colubridae. The record is from RefSeq and is a predicted model, not a curated record.